This 275-nucleotide ribosomal RNA is filed under the name uncultured Streptococcus sp. Its description in RNAcentral is "partial 16S ribosomal RNA". It matches the Rfam family "Bacterial small subunit ribosomal RNA", at positions 1110 to 1384 of the family's 1533-position model. The record is from RNAcentral. Lineage: Bacteria; Bacillati; Bacillota; Bacilli; Lactobacillales; Streptococcaceae.
GUUAGUUGUCCAUCAUUCAGUUGGGCGACUCUAGCGAGACUGCCGGUAAUAAACCGGAGGAAGGUGGGGAUGACGUCAAAUCAUCAUGCCCCUUAUGACCUGGGCUACACACGUGCUACAAUGGUUGGUACAACGAGUUGCGAGUCGGUGACGGCGAGCUAAUCUCUUAAAGCCAAUCUCAGUUCGGAUUGUAGGCUGCAACUCGCCUACAUGAAGUCGGAAUCGCUAGUAAUCGCGGAUCAGCACGCCGCGGUGAAUACGUUCCCGGGCCUUGU